UUGAGACAGGGUCUUCCUAUGUCACUAAACUGUCCAGAUUGGGCUCGAACUCAGGACCCUCCUGACUUGGCCUCCCAGAGCACGGGGUUACUGUUUUCCAGUCCGUUGAAUGAGCACAAGAAGAGUCUAGUCUGUACCAUGUGGGAUUGUGAAUUGGAAUGAAGUGAUCUGUGAAGAGUGUUUAAUGCAGUGACUGGGCACACAAUGAGACUGAAGCUAAGGGGUCAAGUGACUUGCCUAGGGUGUGAGUUCCAGGACUG
Fukomys damarensis (Damara mole-rat) is the source of this 260-nucleotide long non-coding RNA. RefSeq lists it as uncharacterized. NCBI's taxonomy places the organism in Eukaryota, Metazoa, Chordata, Mammalia, Rodentia, Bathyergidae. The transcript is spliced from 3 exons. The record is from RefSeq and is a predicted model, not a curated record.